RNAcentral lists this non-coding RNA (88 nucleotides) under Paenibacillus barengoltzii. Its description in RNAcentral is "GEMM cis-regulatory element". It matches the Rfam family "c-di-GMP-I riboswitch aptamer". From Rfam's summary of the family: GEMM was predicted in a large-scale screen for bacterial structured RNA regulatory elements. Genes associated with GEMM are involved in a diverse array of functions, including chemotaxis regulation, signal transduction, secretion and chitin. The record is from RNAcentral. RNAcentral also lists the same sequence under 1 other name. Lineage: Bacteria; Bacillati; Bacillota; Bacilli; Caryophanales; Paenibacillaceae.
GUCGAAUAAAGGCAAACCGCUCGAAAGGGUGGGACGCAAAGCUACAGGGGCUUCGUGAUCGAGGAUCACAUGCCAGCCAGCUCCCUAC